ACUUGAAUAACCAAACCUAUGCCCAAAUCCCAUCUUUGUGGGGCUAUCUCCUGGUACUCUUCCUAGCAUUUUUCUCUUUGUCAGAGUCCAAUCAGGAGACAUAAAUCACUUAAAUACAAACUGGUAACAUUUAAUGAUAGAUCUUCAGUUCUCAUGACCACAAAAGACCAAGUUUCAGACAGGAGAAGAGACGUGGCCCGGCAGUGUGUCCCUAGAGCCUAUGAUCUUGUCACUAGGUUACAGUGCUUCCAGGUAGCACACGGCUGGAGUGCGAUGGCAUGAUCUCGGCUCACUGCAACCUCUGCCUCCCAGGUUCAAGCGUUUCUCCUGCCUCACCCUCCCAAGUAGCUGGGAUUGCAGGCAUGCACCACUGUGCCCAGGAAGCUGAGAGUGCUGAGGGCACAUCUGAAACCACUGGAGGUUGGCGACAUGGAGGUCAGUAUAUUUUUAAAUGGAACCACCCCAAUCGUGAGAACUUCAGAACGGUGGCAGGCUGUGGAGAAAAUAAGAUGGGGGAGUCAGAACUGAAGAAUUUGGAAGUGCUCAAAUUUUUAAAUAACCAGAUCGAGGAGCUGCCAACACAGAUCAGCAGGCUUCAAAAACUCAAACACCUGAACCUUGGCCACCCUGUGUGCACUCUAUCUAAGUGACAACGGUUUUGAAAUCCUGCCACCAGAUAUUGGGAAGCUCACAAAGUUGCAGAUACUCAGCAAUAGGGAUAAAGACCUGAUCUCACUGCUUAAGGAAAUUGGGGAGCUUACCCAGCUUAAAGAGCUCCACAUUCAGAGGAACCGCCUCACUGUUCUACGCCCAGAACUAGGCAAUGAUGGGACCUCUUCUCCUGCAUUUGUUACCCAGAUAAUUUUGCCUUUGGAGAAGAGAAGAAAAUCACAUUGGUCUGCUCGGAAUGCAACAAAACAAAGUGUUAUUGACACCAAAACCUUAUUUGCACCAAUCCAAACAGCCUAUGGGACAUAUGUCUGCAAUGCUGCACACACCUGGGGCUAGCCAGCUUAGUGCCCUACGAUAUGUGCCAAUAAUCGAUAGCAUUUUUUACUACAGUAAUUAUGAGAAGCAUAGUAUUUUCUAGCAUGCUUGUGAAGAGUGGAAACAAAUAUUAAUCCCCUUCAGAGAGUAAAGGACAUUAUGAAUUGAGAAUUUCCUCCCAAUUUAUUCUCCAGAAUGAACAGAAUUAACAGUGAGUGGAUGUACGUCCAAAAUUUCUUCUGUUAUAUCUCUUAAUCCUUUUCCUGCGGACAUCGAGAAACUAAAGAAAAAUAACUUUCUUUACUGAGGCAGGCAAGAAGGAAAUCCAGUAUUCUUUGUUUGAUCAAUUAAGUCUCUGUAAGUGUCUCAUUUAUCUUCUCUUUUGUUAUUGUCACUCUGUCAACUGGUUCCCAAUUAUUUUAUCCAGAGGUUUAAAACUUUUUUAAAUGUAAACAGUAGAGAAUAGAGGUUAAGUGCUGCACUCUUCAUCACUAGGCUUGGGUUCAAACCUCACUCUCCCACUCCCUUGUUCUGUGACCUUCAGAUACUGAUAUGGUUUGAAAGGAAAGGAAAGGAAAAAACAGAUCAAAAUGUUUCAAUAAUCAUGAACGUAUAUGUAUCUGAUAAUGUACCCUUUAUUUAUGCUCAAUGAGAUUUAACAUGUUCAUCUCAGAAAGGGAUAGAUCAAGCUGCAAAAAGUUUGCAUACAUAGAAGAUCUAAAUAGCAUGACUAACAAGUUUAAAAUAUUAAUGUAGAAUCAUAAAAAUAUAAUUUUUUCAAGCACACAUAUAAUAUUUGUAAAAAUUGACCAGGUACAAAUCACAUAGUAAUUCUCAAUAAAUUUUAGAAAAAGGAA
This is an RNA transcript of Homo sapiens (human), 1844 nucleotides long. It is a transcript of the gene named Ras suppressor protein 1 pseudogene 2, with no coding region annotated. The record is from RefSeq and is marked validated. NCBI's taxonomy places the organism in Eukaryota, Metazoa, Chordata, Mammalia, Primates, Hominidae. The transcript has 9 exons.